GCCGUGGUGGUGAAAUUGGUAGACACGCUAUCUUGAGGGGGUAGUGCCCUAAGGGCAUGCGGGUUCAAGUCCCGCCCACGGCACCA
Molecule: transfer RNA, 86 nt
Filed under: Gilliamella apis
Lineage: Bacteria; Pseudomonadati; Pseudomonadota; Gammaproteobacteria; Orbales; Orbaceae
Description: tRNA-Leu
Rfam family: tRNA
About the family: Transfer RNA (tRNA) molecules are approximately 80 nucleotides in length. Their secondary structure includes four short double-helical elements and three loops (D, anti-codon, and T loops).
Source: RNAcentral